GAACAAUUAAAAAAAAAUCAUAAAUAAAAUUAAUCUGGAGGAGCCAUCAUAAAAUCUAUGGAGGAAUGGCCCCCUCUAGUCCCUAAGCUCCACGAUUGGUGCCACCCUUUUGUUACCUGCACAAGUUCCAUUCAACUUGACACCAACGUAUUGAGAUGAUUGGAAUCCCUCCAAAAUCUAGUGCUGCAUUCAAGUAGCAUCCUGAAUCCUUAUAGUGCAUGUGUAUAUUGAACACUGCAAGAAUCAAGACCAGCUGUGAGCAACCGCAGUUCCUCAACUUGGUGGCCUAUCCAACUUCCUAGUAUAGGCAGGCAACUCAUUCCAAGCAAAACAUUAUUGGUCUUUUGAAUCCCAACCAUCUAACUACCGAAAGUGUAUAUUAGGAUGUUCUAAGGGGGGCACCCUACCUUCUUUAUUUUGCUGCAACAUGUAUCCCUUUAACAGACUUAUGCCUGCCUUUGCAACAGUCUUUUUGACUCGAUGCUUCCAGCCCUGGGAAAAUAGGCAUAAUGCAUGUGUCUAGAAAUAGGUAAAGAGUACAAUCAGUCAGUAACAUAUAACUGGCUGGAACUUGGGACCAUUCUCAGCUGCUUCACUCGAUGUCUUUGGAAUUUGGACCCACCUUCAAAACUCUACGAAAUUUCUACAACUUUUUAUCACAUCUUUCUUUCAGAUGUCAAAGAUGCUCUCACAAUUUUUGUGGCCACUUUCAAGAGAUGAAUUAAUUAUAUCUUGAAGAACUAGGACUAGUUUUUUAUAACCUCGUGCCACAAAGGAAGCAAACAUGAUUAUAUAUAAGGAAUAUAAUUAUAGCUAACACAUGUUCCACUACUAAACUUGAAGUUUUUAAUCAACAUUUAACUUAUCCUCCUUGAGUCAUCAGGCUUCUUUAUUCCUCAUCAACUGGAAUCGUACAAUCCUAUGUGGUCUUCAAUAUAUCAUGCAAAAAUACUUGGUGUAAUGAGUCACUACAGGGGACAGUGUUGUAAUGACAGAAAAUAAAUGGAUAAAUAAAGAAUGUGAAUGAAACAGAUGAAAAUUUUGUUAAAGUAACAAAUAUAGAAAGGGAAUAACAAAAAUGUAAAAAGUGAAUGAAACAUAUAAAAAUUAACUCACUCCAACAGUUCAUUGUAGCGAGUCACUACACCUAGUAAAAUUCUUAUGCCAAAUGAGGCUUUGAUCUAUUAGUAAAAUUAUACAAGAUUGAGGCCCUGCGAUUAAGAGAUCCCAAGUUCAACUCGCACCAUUGUUAGUCUGAACUGUUAAAUUUCAUUGUUUACUUUGCGUUUGCAGAUGUAUUUUGGCUUUGGCCAGCGAUCAGUUGUAAUUAACAUGAUUAAGAUGUAUCUUGUAGUCUUAUUUCUGGUAAAAAAACACCUCUACCCUUU
This 1388-nucleotide unclassified non-coding RNA is filed under the name Hevea brasiliensis (rubber tree). The record is from RNAcentral. Lineage: Eukaryota; Viridiplantae; Streptophyta; Magnoliopsida; Malpighiales; Euphorbiaceae.